This 1107-nucleotide ribosomal RNA is filed under the name Triticum aestivum (bread wheat). RNAcentral's name for it is "partial small subunit ribosomal RNA". The record is from RNAcentral. Lineage: Eukaryota; Viridiplantae; Streptophyta; Magnoliopsida; Poales; Poaceae.
AUGAAGAGACUUUUGAGGGGCUCGUCGAGCCGAAGUUCUAAGGAGAAACAAAAGGAAGAAGAACAGAAGCCCAAAUUUAAUCUGCCUCGUAUCGCGAAGGUCCGGCCGUGUGAAUGGCCUUCCGAUGACUUCUUGAGGAGUGCCGGGAUUUAUGAAGAUUUCUAUCUAUUGAUUGAGAAUGCCGGCCUCACCAACUUCCUCCGCGACCAACGUCAUCAGUAUCUCUUACUCUCAAAUACUUUUGUGCAGAACUUCUACUUUUUCCCUAAGAAAUCACCUCCAACAGUAGAGUUCCAUUUAUAUGAUGUUGCUAGGGAGAUGACAUUAGCUGCAUUUUGCGAGGUUUGCAAAAUACCUUUCGAGGGUUCUUUAGAUGAACCACACCGUAAUGAAGUGGAAGCUUAUAUUGACACUAUCACUGUGGGAGAAACCAGGAAGGUAUCUGAUGCAAGAAUUACUAGCAUACAUUUCCUUGUUUUACGCUACUUUACCUUAUUUGCUAGUCGUUGCUUGAUUGGUCGCGGGAACUAUGGGAACCUUAGUAUUCCUGUUAUUAUUAUUUUGCUCCAUGGUUUAUACCACAAUAACUCUAUUAGUAUGGGUGGAAUUGUUGCUAGACGGUUGAGUAUGAACCGUACUAAGGGCCCCAUCUUUGGAGGCAUUUAUGCUUCACGCCUAGCUGAACAUUUUGAAAUACCUAUUAGGCAUGAGGAGAAAGAAGAAACAGCGCUGCCCCGUGCUUAUUUAGAUUAUAAGAGUACGGUAGCGCAUGAUUUUCUUGUUAAGAAUCGCGAAAGGGCGCUUAAAUAUAAAUUGUACUUUGAUAAACAUCACCCUGAGACUAUUACUUUGCCUGCUCCCUCUUUGUUUAACUUGUCUGCAUGUACUUACAUUGUUCCGUGGGCGGCUGUUCAAGCCUAUCGGAAUCCUGCACCAGCCUCGGAACCGGAGCCUCCACGAAUGUCUGUUUAUUCUUGGGAUCCUGAGGCGGUUGCCAGCCAGUGGCAGUCAGAGUCCUCUUCAUCACAUUAUGAUCCCAACUAUUCUUCAUCGCAGUACGACCCCAGCUUCACCUAUGGAUAUCAGCCAGGUUAUCCCUGGCAAUAG